CUAGGGGCGCUCGGAACGGAAGGUGUGUGGUGAGAGUUCACGUUUUAGAGACGUUGUGAAGCCAUCCCAAGAUUGGCAACUGGGGAACUUGUAUGGAGAGUCGGUCUGUCUGAACCCUGGUUUGAUAGGUCCCUCGCCAAUUCCCGCAAUCCCCGCCAGAUCACGUUGGUCCCAGUCUCUCCUCGCUCUCCACCUGCCCGGCCUUUGGCGGGACUUCCCGCUUUUCCGGCUCCGGCGCGGACUUCCUCCAGGUGCUGUGUGACGGCCUCCAGGACUCGACUUGGGAGGUGAUGAGGUGCGCUCCGGUGCGUCUGAGCGGGCGCCGGGGGCGAGUCCAGUCGCUUCAGCACACCCCUCCCAUGGCUCGUUUGUUGAGAAAAGUUGGUGAGUUCUAGUCGGUAGGAAAGUCUUCAAGUUUCCGCACGGUCAAGCCUUCAGACUUGGACCGAAACAUCAGCUCUUCUUGGAUCUUGAGCCUGCCAACUUCUAGACUGGAACUUAUACCAUCGGUGUCCUGGUUCUCAGGCCUUUGAACUCAGACUGGAACUAAACAUUGGUCCUCCUAAGUCAUCAGCUUGCUGACUGCAGCUCUUGGGACUUCUCAGUCUCUCUAAUCAUUACGCGGGCCUCUCCCGUUGCGGAGCACAGGCUCUGGAUGCACAGGCUCAGCGGCCAUGGCUUACGGGCCCAGCCGCUCCGCGGCAUGUGGGAUCCUCCCAGACCGGGGCACGAACCCGUGUCCCCUGCAUCGGCCGGUGGACUCUCAACCACUGCGCCACCAGGGAAGCCCCUCCUGCCCAAUUCUUAUGUUGAAGCCUUAACCCCCAAUGUGAUGGUGAAGAAGAGAUACCAGAGAGCACUUUCCACCCACCCCGCGAGGACAGAGUGAGAAUGAGAAGGUGGCUGUCUCCAAAUCAGGAAAAGGGAUUGCCAGAGCCUGAACAUGCUGGCACCCUGAUCUCAGACUUCCAGCCUCUAGAACUGUGAAAAAAUGAGUGUCUGUUGUUUAAGCCACCAAGUCUAUGGUAUUUCGUUAUAACAGCCCAAACUGACUUAAGACAGAACUUAUGGUAAGCCUCAGUGGAAAAAUCACAAUGCAGUCCCUGGAACUUGAGCAAGGCCAUGCCAUCUGCAGCAGAGAAUUAUAUACAUUUUAAGAAACAGCUACUAAUGUGAUACUAGGCCUUGGUAGAAACCGAACACUUAACUGUGGGACUCCAAGUAGCCAUGUGCCGAAAACUGCCUGUUACGGCCUGGGUUCUUUUGGUGUUCAGAUGGACCCAGCAGCAUUUAUUGUAAGAUGGAAAUGGUGCAUCUGAGAUGGAGCUCAAGCACAACUGAGGUACUUGUAAGCUGCAUGACCAGGUAGUCCAGACCCCCAUGUCACCCACCACAACUGCACCAAUACCGUGACCAGCUGAAGGAAGGGUAAAGCCUGAGUUUGGUUUAUGGGUGAGUCAGCUUAAGAUGUGGGUGUAAGCCAAAGUUAGAUAGUGGCUACAUUAUAGUCAUAUACUUGAGAAGCUUUGAAAAAUAGUGGAGAGGAAAAAUCUUCCUAAUGGGUAGAGUUAGAAGCAUUGUCCCUGGUCAUCUGGUUUGUGUGUAAGGAGAAGCAGACUGAAGUAAGAAUAUAUAUAGAUUCUUGGGCAUGUGUCAGUGGCCUGGCCCACUGGUAAGGGGCCGAGAAGAAAAAAGACUGGAAGACCAAAGACAAGAAGGUCUAGGGUAGAGUCUUGUGGGUGAAUAUACAUGAGUCGGCAUGAAGUGUGAAGAUUUUUGUAUCAUAUUUUGCACCCACUAAGGAAGAGGUACUAAACAAUGAAGUAGAGAAAAUAACUCAUGCAAUUGUCAUUACCAGCCUUAAUCAUUGGCUACCUUGGAACCAGCCUGAUGGGCACUAUUGUGGGUUAUAUUGUAUCCCCCCCAAAUUCAUACGUUAAAGUUCUAAUCCCCAAUACCUCAAAAUAUGACAUUUGGAAAUACGGUUCUUGCUGUUUUAAUUAGUUAAAAUGACAUCAUACUGGAGUAGGAUGGGCCCCUAAUUCAAUGUGACUGGUAUCCUUAUAAACAGAAGGCCAUAUGAAGACAGAAAUGUGCAGAGGGAAUGCCAUGUGAGGAUAAAAACAGAGAUUAGGGUGAUGCAGGAGAAGCCAAGGAACACCAAAGAUUGCCAGCAAACCACCAGAAGCUAGGGGAGAAGCAUGGAAGAGAUUUUCCCUCACAGCCCUCAGAAGGAACCAAGCCUACUGACACCUUGGUCUCAGACUUCUAGCUUCCAGAAUUG
Mesoplodon densirostris (Blainville's beaked whale) is the source of this 2284-nucleotide long non-coding RNA. RefSeq lists it as uncharacterized. NCBI's taxonomy places the organism in Eukaryota, Metazoa, Chordata, Mammalia, Artiodactyla, Ziphiidae. The transcript is spliced from 3 exons. The record is from RefSeq and is a predicted model, not a curated record.